RNAcentral lists this ribosomal RNA (371 nucleotides) under uncultured organism. RNAcentral describes it as "partial 16S ribosomal RNA". It matches the Rfam family "Bacterial small subunit ribosomal RNA", at positions 527 to 896 of the family's 1533-position model. The record is from RNAcentral.
GUAGGUGGCAAGCGUUGUCCGGAAUUAUUGGGCGUAAAGCGCGCGCAGGCGGUUCUUUAAGUCUGAUGUGAAAGCCCACGGCUCAACCGUGGAGGGUCAUUGGAAACUGGAGAACUUGAGUACAGAAGAGGAAAGCGGAAUUCCACGUGUAGCGGUGAAAUGCGUAGAGAUGUGGAGGAACACCAGUGGCGAAGGCGGCUUUCUGGUCUGUAACUGACGCUGAGGCGCGAAAGCGUGGGGAGCAAACAGGAUUAGAUACCCUGGUAGUCCACGCCGUAAACGAUGAGUGCUAAUGUUAGGGGGUUUCCGCCCCCCUUAGUGCUGCAGCUAACGCAUUAAGCACUCCGCCUGGGAGUACGACCGCAAGGUUG